RNAcentral lists this ribosomal RNA (1488 nucleotides) under Lactiplantibacillus plantarum. RNAcentral's name for it is "bacterial SSU rRNA". It matches the Rfam family "Bacterial small subunit ribosomal RNA". The record is from RNAcentral. Lineage: Bacteria; Bacillati; Bacillota; Bacilli; Lactobacillales; Lactobacillaceae.
GACGAACGCUGGCGGCGUGCCUAAUACAUGCAAGUCGAACGAACUCUGGUAUUGAUUGGUGCUUGCAUCAUGAUUUACAUUUGAGUGAGUGGCGAACUGGUGAGUAACACGUGGGAAACCUGCCCAGAAGCGGGGGAUAACACCUGGAAACAGAUGCUAAUACCGCAUAACAACUUGGACCGCAUGGUCCGAGUUUGAAAGAUGGCUUCGGCUAUCACUUUUGGAUGGUCCCGCGGCGUAUUAGCUAGAUGGUGGGGUAACGGCUCACCAUGGCAAUGAUACGUAGCCGACCUGAGAGGGUAAUCGGCCACAUUGGGACUGAGACACGGCCCAAACUCCUACGGGAGGCAGCAGUAGGGAAUCUUCCACAAUGGACGAAAGUCUGAUGGAGCAACGCCGCGUGAGUGAAGAAGGGUUUCGGCUCGUAAAACUCUGUUGUUAAAGAAGAACAUAUCUGAGAGUAACUGUUCAGGUAUUGACGGUAUUUAACCAGAAAGCCACGGCUAACUACGUGCCAGCAGCCGCGGUAAUACGUAGGUGGCAAGCGUUGUCCGGAUUUAUUGGGCGUAAAGCGAGCGCAGGCGGUUUUUUAAGUCUGAUGUGAAAGCUUCGGCUCAACCGAAGAAGUGCAUCGGAAACUGGGAAACUUGAGUGCAGAAGAGGACAGUGGAACUCCAUGUGUAGCGGUGAAAUGCGUAGAUAUAUGGAAGAACACCAGUGGCGAAGGCGGCUGUCUGGUCUGUAACUGACGCUGAGGCUCGAAAGUAUGGGUAGCAAACAGGAUUAGAUACCCUGGUAGUCCAUACCGUAAACGAUGAAUGCUAAGUGUUGGAGGGUUUCCGCCCUUCAGUGCUGCAGCUAACGCAUUAAGCAUUCCGCCUGGGGAGUACGGCCGCAAGGCUGAAACUCAAAGGAAUUGACGGGGGCCCGCACAAGCGGUGGAGCAUGUGGUUUAAUUCGAAGCUACGCGAAGAACCUUACCAGGUCUUGACAUACUAUGCAAAUCUAAGAGAUUAGACGUUCCCUUUGGGGACAUGGAUACAGGUGGUGCAUGGUUGUCGUCAGCUCGUGUCGUGAGAUGUUGGGUUAAGUCCCGCAACGAGCGCAACCCUUAUUAUCAGUUGCCAGCAUUAAGUUGGGCACUCUGGUGAGACUGCCGGUGACAAACCGGAGGAAGGUGGGGAUGACGUCAAAUCAUCAUGCCCCUUAUGACCUGGGCUACACACGUGCUACAAUGGAUGGUACAACGAGUUGCGAACUCGCGAGAGUAAGCUAAUCUCUUAAAGCCAUUCUCAGUUCGGAUUGUAGGCUGCAACUCGCCUACAUGAAGUCGGAAUCGCUAGUAAUCGCGGAUCAGCAUGCCGCGGUGAAUACGUUCCCGGGCCUUGUACACACCGCCCGUCACACCAUGAGAGUUUGUAACACCCAAAGUCGGUGGGGUAACCUUUUAGGAACCAGCCGCCUAAGGUGGGACAGAUGAUUAGGGUG